GACGAACGCUGGCGGCGUGCCUAAUACAUGCAAGUUGAGCGAUGAAGAUUGGUGCUUGCCCCAAUUUGAAGAGCAGCGAACGGGUGAGUAACGCGUGGGGAAUCUGCCUUUGAGCGGGGGACAACAUUUGGAAACGAAUGCUAAUACCGCAUAACAACUUUAAACAUAAGUUUUAAGUUUGAAAGAUGCAAUUGCAUCACUCAAAGAUGAUCCCGCGUUGUAUUAGCUAGUUGGUGAGGUAAAGGCUCACCAAGGCGAUGAUACAUAGCCGACCUGAGAGGGUGAUCGGCCACAUUGGGACUGAGACACGGCCCAAACUCCUACGGGAGGCAGCAGUAGGGAAUCUUCGGCAAUGGACGAAAGUCUGACCGAGCAACGCCGCGUGAGUGAAGAAGGUUUUCGGAUCGUAAAACUCUGUUGGUAGAGAAGAACGUUGGUGAGAGUGGAAAGCUCAUCAGGUGACGGUAACUACCCAGAAAGGGACGGCUAACUACGUG
Molecule: ribosomal RNA, 497 nt
Filed under: uncultured bacterium
Lineage: Bacteria
Description: partial 16S ribosomal RNA
Rfam family: Bacterial small subunit ribosomal RNA
Source: RNAcentral